AUGGGGAUGCGGGUGCCCGGGUGGGUUGGGGGCCUGGUGGAGGAGAGCUUCUUCGUGGGGUGCGAGGCGCACGAGAGCCGCAGGAAGAACGAGAAGAACAUCUUCUGCCUCGCCUGCUGCACCAGCAUCUGCCCGCACUGCGGCCCCGCCCACCGCCACCACCCGCUCCUACAGGUGCGGCGAUACGUGUACAAUGACGUCGUCCGCCUGGGUGACCUCGAGAAGCUCAUCGACUGCUCCUAUGUCCAGCCCUACACGAUCAACAGCGCGAAGGUUAUCUUCCUGAAGCCGAGGCCUCAGUCUAGGCCAUUCAAGGGCACUGGCAACGUCUGCCUUGCAUGUGACAGGAUCCUCCAGGAGCCUUUCCACUUCUGCUGCCUCUCCUGCAAGGUGGACCAUGUGGUGGAGCAGGGAGGGGACCUGUCCAACAUCCUGUUGUAUCGCGCCGGCGACGAGCUCCCUUUCCCGCGCUUCGAGAACCUCCACGUCGGCGACGCCGACUCGGGGCAGGUCACGCCCAACUCCAUCCUCGAGAACCCGCUGCACCACCGCAACAGGUACGGUGGCGGCAGCGGCGGGUCCAGCGACAAUGCCGGCAAUGGUGGUAACGGCAAUGGCGGCGGCGAGGCCGUGGUGGUGAAGCGGAAGAAAGGGGGAGGGUUCUUCCCCAAGAUGGUGCUGUCACUGGGCAACAGGAGGAAGGGCGCACCCCACCGAUCCCCCCUAGCCUGA
RNAcentral lists this ribosomal RNA (732 nucleotides) under Triticum aestivum (bread wheat). RNAcentral's name for it is "partial small subunit ribosomal RNA". Lineage: Eukaryota; Viridiplantae; Streptophyta; Magnoliopsida; Poales; Poaceae. The record is from RNAcentral.